UUUUUAUGGACCCUAUGCAAGUUCAACUUUUAUAAAAACAAUUAUAAUAGUUUUGUUAAGGACUUUAAUGUUUCUGAGAAAAGUCUAAAUUUUAACUAAAAAUUUGCAAAAAAAUUUUGGACACGGUGCAAAUGCACUUCCUGCACUUGCUAUAAGCCGGACCUGUUUAUUAUGCAUCAUCACACUUGUAGAAGGCGAUAAGGAUGUGGUUAAUCCUAGUUUUAGGUUUAUCUGAGUUUUAUAUUUUUUAAUCUCUUAAAAAUACUGCAAAUGCGAUUUUACAACUGAUACAGAGAAAGUCUAUUGUUUAUUACUUCUCUCCAUUAGUCCAGAAACACCAAGUUUUUUUUUAUUCUGAGAAGAAGAAAAACUCAUUCAACAAGUUUUUUAAGUCAUGGCUCUCUGUUCUCCAACUAACCCACAUUUUUUCCAACCUCUUCUUCCCGGUUUCACUAAGCACCUCGUAUACUCUCUGUUUCCCUAUCCCUAUUUGACCAAAAUGGUUCUGUUUCUAACUCUCGUGCGUGGUGUUUCAGGACAUUCCUGUGGCAUUCUUUUUGAAGCACUUAGAUAAAAGUAACAAAGGCAAAACGGCAAAGCUGAGAUCAGACACAUCCGAGACGACCUGGAACGUGAAGCUUGACGGCCGGAGAUUCUCUGACGGUUGGGAAUAUUUCGCCGUCGCUCAUGAUCUCCGAGUUGGUGACAUUGUUGUUUUCAGACACGAAGGAGAGUUAGCGUUCCAUGUCACAGCUUUAGGACCAAGUUGUUGUGAGAUUCAAUAUGGAGAAGAUAGCCAAGAAGAGGACAAAAGUGGUAAACUUCAGUUUUAUAUUCGGUUUUAUUGCCAUAUUUAGAUUGAGUCCAUUUACUUCUCAACAGAGGAGCUUUGUGAUGCUAUGGAGGAGAUUUCAAGAAAGAAGAAGAGACCAAAGACAGAAAUAGAUUUUUCAAAAGACCAAUCUUGUUUUGUUAUUACAGUCACGCCAUCAAAUCUAAGGCGUGAUACAGUGGUUAUUUUACUUCCUUAUUACUCCUUAAUAUAUAAAGUAAUUUUGAGAUAUUUAACUUUUGACGGAUAUUAAAACUUGUGGAUGUAUUAUUGCAGUAUCUUCCGAAAGCCUUUGCAGUGGUAAAUUGUCUGAUGAAGAAAUUUGAGAUUGUUUUAGUGAAUGAAGAACGAGAAUCAUGGAAGUUAAACUUGAGACAAGAUUCAUAUUUAGGCCGGUUUUACAUGAGCAAUGGCUGGAGAAGUUUCUGUGUUGCUAACGGGAAGAAACCUGGAGACAUGUUCACAUUUAAAAUGCUCCAAAAUGAAACAACACCUGUGCUCAAAUUGUUACCGUGGAACAAUGAAGAUCUGCAUAACCCUGGUAAGUUGAUUUUCCUAUACCUUUGUUAAUUUAUUAUCAGAGGCCCGUUUCAUUGUUUUUAUGGACCCUAUGCAAGUUCAACUUUUAUAAAAACAAUUAUAAUAGUUUUGUUAAGGACUUUAAUGUUUCUGAGAAAAGUCUAAAUUUUAACUAAAAAUUUGCAAAAAAAUUUUGGACACGGUGCAAAUGCACUUCCUGCACUUGCUAUAAGCCGGACCUGUUUAUUAUGCAUCAUCACACUUGUAGAAGGCGAUAAGGAU
Molecule: long non-coding RNA, 1633 nt
Filed under: Brassica napus (rape)
Lineage: Eukaryota; Viridiplantae; Streptophyta; Magnoliopsida; Brassicales; Brassicaceae
Description: long non-coding RNA (BNAP_LNC008339)
Source: RNAcentral